UUUAAGUCUUAGCAUCCACAACCAUCAAUACAAACCAAACUUCUAGCACCAUACAAACCUAGUCCAACUAUUUUCAUUACGUCAUUGAAAACACAUCUACAUUCAAUUUUCCUUUGUUGGUAUGAGGAUCCAUUAUUUAGAAAAGUUUUAAAAAACAAGUUAAAGGUGACAAACUUCAGUCAGUGUUUCAACUGUAAGAGAUAAGGAGUGUCUAUGUGAUUACUACUGUCAAUGUAGUCACAAAUGAUUAUCUGGCCAUGUAUAUUAUUGCAUACUUACAAUAAACUGUAAAAAGAUUUCCAUAUUACAGUUUUUUUCCAACUGCUUACACACAAAAUCUUUUCAUGUCACACGAUUUUUGAAACCUCUCACUCAAAGUGCAAAACUACACACCAAAUAUCCAAAACCAUAAGCUAUUUCUCAGCCUUUGACUCAGUUGUCAAUUGCAUUAAACACUUUUUUUCAAAACACUACACACAAUUCUCUACCUAAAACAAAAAAAUCUAACAGGAAGUGACUUGCUUUCCUUUUCCAAACACAACCAAUCAAAAUGCUACACUUAUUCACCAGGUCACACACACUCCUCACGUGCGCAAACACAAAUAGCUUAACUGAUCACUAACCAAUCACUGCUUUACUGUAGUAUAGGCCUAUAAAUAGGUCAAAGGUCACAUUACCUGUUUUGAACAAUGGAUACCAACAAUGGACAGAGAGCAAGAGGAGUAGGAGGGAGAGGAAGAAGAGGACGAGGGCAAAGAAGAGAAGGAAGGAGAGCCAUCUCUGAUGAGAUUAGGGCAACACUUGUUGAUCAUGUGAUCAACCACUGUUUGACCAUGAGAGAGGCUGGACUGAGAGUCCAGCCCAACUUGAGUCGAUUUACAGUGGCAUCCAUAAUUCAAACCUUCAGAAAUGAACAGAGUGGAAAGGCAAAGACAUCAUGGAGGACGAGGACGCUUGUUUACAGAUGAACAAGAGACUGCCAUUAUCAAUAUGGUUUUGGCCAACAAUGCAAUAAGGAUUGGAGAGAUAAGAGAGCAUAUCUUGAAUAAUGACACCAUAUUUAACAACAUCAAUGCUGUAAGCCUGUCGACCAUACAACGCAUCCUCCAACGGCACCGAGUGACGAUGAAACAACUUUACAAGGUGCCAUUUGAGAGAAACUCUGACAGUCAAGAAUAUGCGACAUGACUUUGUAGAGGUAUGUAUGCAACACUACUUCC
Molecule: long non-coding RNA, 1220 nt
Organism: Oncorhynchus tshawytscha (Chinook salmon)
Lineage: Eukaryota; Metazoa; Chordata; Actinopteri; Salmoniformes; Salmonidae
Source: Ensembl